Molecule: ribosomal RNA, 425 nt
Filed under: uncultured bacterium
Lineage: Bacteria
Description: partial 16S ribosomal RNA
Rfam family: Bacterial small subunit ribosomal RNA
Source: RNAcentral
GUGGGGAAUAUUGCACAAUGGGCGAAAGCCUGAUGCAGCAACGCCGCGUGAGUGAUGAAGGCCUUCGGGUCGUAAAGCUCUUUGAUCAGGGAUGAUAAUGACAGUACCUGAAAAACAAGCCACGGCUAACUACGUGCCAGCAGCCGCGGUAAUACGUAGGUGGCGAGCGUUGUCCGGAAUUACUGGGCGUAAAGGAUGCGUAGGUGGAUACUUAAGUGGGAUGUGAAAUCCCCGGGCUCAACCCGGGAACUGCAUUCCAAACUGGGUAUCUAGAGUGCAGGAGAGGAAAGCGGAAUUCCUAGUGUAGCGGUGAAAUGCGUAGAUAUUAGGAGGAACACCAGUGGCGAAGGCGGCUUUCUGGACUGUAACUGACACUGAGGCAUGAAAGCGUGGGUAGCAAACAGGAUUAGAUACCCCGGUAGUCC